GGAGAGAUGGCCGAGAGGCUGAAGGCGCACGCUUGGAAAGCGUGUUUACUUAACGGUAACGUGGGUUCGAAUCCCACUCUCUCCGCCA
This 88-nucleotide transfer RNA is filed under the name bacterium ADurb.Bin270. Its description in RNAcentral is "tRNA-Ser". It matches the Rfam family "tRNA". Rfam says of the family: Transfer RNA (tRNA) molecules are approximately 80 nucleotides in length. Their secondary structure includes four short double-helical elements and three loops (D, anti-codon, and T loops). RNAcentral also lists the same sequence under 2 other names. The record is from RNAcentral.